This 73-nucleotide transfer RNA is filed under the name Bacteroidia bacterium. RNAcentral's name for it is "tRNA-Lys". It matches the Rfam family "tRNA". Rfam says of the family: Transfer RNA (tRNA) molecules are approximately 80 nucleotides in length. Their secondary structure includes four short double-helical elements and three loops (D, anti-codon, and T loops). Further hydrogen bonds mediate the characteristic L-shaped molecular structure. tRNAs have two regions of fundamental functional importance: the anti-codon, which is responsible for specific mRNA codon recognition, and the 3' end, to which the tRNAs corresponding amino acid is attached (by aminoacyl-tRNA synthetases). tRNAs cope with the degeneracy of the genetic code in two manners: having more than one tRNA (with a specific anti-codon) for a particular amino acid; and 'wobble' base-pairing, i.e. permitting non-standard base-pairing at the 3rd anti-codon position. Lineage: Bacteria; Pseudomonadati; Bacteroidota; Bacteroidia. The record is from RNAcentral.
GACUCCGUAGCUCAGUUGGUAGAGCAGCUGACUCUUAAUCAUCGGGUCCCGAGUUCGAGUCUCGGCGGGGUCA